This 72-nucleotide transfer RNA is filed under the name Chloroflexota bacterium. RNAcentral describes it as "Chloroflexi bacterium (anaerobic digester metagenome) tRNA-Met". It matches the Rfam family "tRNA". From Rfam's summary of the family: Transfer RNA (tRNA) molecules are approximately 80 nucleotides in length. Lineage: Bacteria; Bacillati; Chloroflexota. RNAcentral also lists the same sequence under 2 other names. The record is from RNAcentral.
UGCGGGGUGGAGCAGUGGCAGCUCGUUGGGCUCAUAACCCAAAGGUCACAGGUUCGAGUCCUGUCCCCGCUA